AUGAUAGGAUUGCUUUGGAAUUGUAGGGGGGCAGGCAAGAAAGGCAUGUCUACCUGCCUCACUGAUAUCAUUUGUGCCAAUAAUGUGGACUUUAUUGGUCUUCAAGAGACUAUGAAAAAAACUUAUAAUCCUUCCUAUUUUAGGAAAUUGGACCCUGAAGGUAAAUUCGAAUGGGAUUGGAUUCCUUCUAGGGGUAAAUCAGGGGGUAUUUUGGGUGGUAUGAAUAAGGACAAAUUUGAUCUUAUUAAUGUUAAACAUGGGAAAUAUAUCCUUCAAAUGGAUCUUUUUGAUGAAGGCAAGAAAUGCAACUGGGCUCUGCUGGUUGUGUAUGGAGCAGCCCAGGAUGAAAACAAACCAGAAUUUAUUGCAGAAUUGUCUAAUAUGUGUAAUAGGACCCACAUUCCUUAUUUGGUGGGAGGAGACUUUAAUAUUCUUAGACACAGUGGAGAGAAGAACAAGAAAACUUCCAUGUCCCACUUUUCUGAUGUGUUCAAUUCUGUCAUCCACCUGCUUGGUCUGAGAGAGAUCAGUAUGUCAGGUGGAUGUUAUACUUGGUCUAAUAAGCAGGAAAACCCUACCCUGGACAAAUUGGACAGGAUUUUGACGUCAACGGAUUAG
This 618-nucleotide ribosomal RNA is filed under the name Triticum aestivum (bread wheat). RNAcentral describes it as "partial small subunit ribosomal RNA". Lineage: Eukaryota; Viridiplantae; Streptophyta; Magnoliopsida; Poales; Poaceae. The record is from RNAcentral.